Molecule: long non-coding RNA, 214 nt
Organism: Rhinichthys klamathensis goyatoka
Lineage: Eukaryota; Metazoa; Chordata; Actinopteri; Cypriniformes; Leuciscidae
Exons: 3
Source: RefSeq, a predicted model, not a curated record
UGACACAUAUCAGGCGGUGGUGGGUGAAUCUGCUAUUGUCAAAAAUGACACAUGGAAGAAAGAGGAAGCGCACAUCAGCCAUGUCAAUCAGUGAAGAGACAAAAUGACAGGAGGCAGGACAAGUACAGAACAUCGAAAUCUUGAUGUUGCCAGACGCUGUCCUGUCUGAAAUUUUACUUCACGUGGUCCUUGAGGAGGGUGAUUCCGGAUUGUU